RNAcentral lists this unclassified non-coding RNA (164 nucleotides) under plant metagenome. RNAcentral's name for it is "partial contains small subunit ribosomal RNA and internal transcribed spacer 1". The stretch from base 1 to 46 matches the Rfam family "Eukaryotic small subunit ribosomal RNA", at positions 1786 to 1831 of the family's 1831-position model. The record is from RNAcentral.
AAGUCGUAACAAGGUUUCCGUAGGUGGACCUGCGGAAGGAUCAUUAGUGAUUGCCCUAGUGGCUUAAAACUAUAUCCAUUUACACCUGUGAACCGUUUGAUUGACACUCUGUGUUGAUUUUACAAACAAUAUGUAAAGAAGUCAAGUUAUUAUAACAAAAAUAA